This 473-nucleotide long non-coding RNA is filed under the name Podarcis muralis (Common wall lizard). RNAcentral's name for it is "lncRNA (ENSPMRG00000007668.1)". The record is from RNAcentral. Lineage: Eukaryota; Metazoa; Chordata; Lepidosauria; Squamata; Lacertidae.
GGCAAUUGUCCUGACCCAGCAAUACUCUUUUGAUGUCCUUAGCAUUUUCUGCCUGGGGCACUGGCCUCAUUCUGCCUAUCGAUAGCCCUGGGUUCUCUUAGCUCUUUGGGACAAACAGAAUGGAGUCACUUCAAACAUUGGGUGGAGAUGUGGUGUGGGUGGGAAUGGAGAAGCUGGUUCUCUGUGGCUUCACCAGACUUGUUCUCCUCUGAACCAACAGGAGACUCUCUGAAAUGGAACCUAAUCAGCGGUGUAAUGGGUGCCCUCGUCAUGUUGGCUGUCGUCAUGCUGAUCGUUAUCAUCGUCGUUCUGAUUUCCAGAAGGUACCCAAAGGACAGAAAACCUUUGACUGCCUCAGAAUCUAUCGCAAAGCCCUUGACUCACGUCCACAGCGAGCUUUCCCCAGAUGUCAAGGUCUGUAGCACCUGCCUCUCAGCUGUCACAUUUAAAAAGUCCACAUCAGCACAUUGAUA